CAGCAGUCGCCACGGUAAUACAGAGGAUGCAAGCGUUAUCCGGAAUGAUUGGGCGUAAAGCGUCUGUAGGUGGCUUUUCAAGUCCGCCGUCAAAUCCCAGGGCUCAACCCUGGACAGGCGGUGGAAACUACCAAGCUGGAGUACGGUAGGGGCAGAGGGAAUUUCCGGUGGAGCGGUGAAAUGCAUUGAGAUCGGAAAGAAUACCAACGGCGAAAGCACUCUACUGGGCCGACAUUGACACUGAGAGACGAAAGGUAGGGGAGCAAAUGGGAUUAGAUACCCCUGUAGUCCCUGUCUCUUAUAC
This 304-nucleotide ribosomal RNA is filed under the name uncultured bacterium. Its description in RNAcentral is "partial 16S ribosomal RNA". It matches the Rfam family "Bacterial small subunit ribosomal RNA", at positions 506 to 807 of the family's 1533-position model. The record is from RNAcentral.